GAGGGGAUCUCGUUAAUGCAUAUAAAUAUCUCAAAGGCAGGUGCCAGGGGGAUGUUGCCGGACUCUUUCCAGUGCCCUGUGACAGGACAAGGAGCAAUGGCCAUAAUCUAAAACAUGAGAAGUUUCACCUCAAUGUGAGGAACAACUUCUUUACAUUGAGGGUGGCAUUGGAACAAACCACACAGAGAGGUCAUGGAGCCUCUCUCUCUGGAGACAUUCUAAACCUAGACCUGGAUGCAUUCCUGCAUCACCUGCUCCAGCUGCCCCUGCCUUGGCAGGGGUGUUGGACUAGAUGAACUCCUGAGGUCACUUCCAACCCUAACUAUUCUGUGAUUCUGUGACUGUUUGCAUCUGGGGUGGUCUAUAAACUCCCACCACAAUAUUUGCAUAAAUAAAAUCCAUUGUGGGUGCGUGACUGCGCCAGUGAGUUACCUCAGGCUCUUCCUGCAAGGUGGUGCUUAAAGGAAGCUGGUAUCAGUUAAGCAAAGGUGAACAUAAGGGCACAGCAAAGAAUACAAGGUCACAUUAAACAGCUGCAGAGUUGAUAGCAUUCAGGAGUAUCUGUUGUUCACCCUAGGAUGAAUCACUUAGGAUUGUCCCUACCCAGACAAGGUAUAGAUGUUACAGGCACGUGUAGGUGAAAGUUCUGUUUGCAGUUUUGCAUCCCCUGUAAAAUAAACACAGUUACAGCCCAUGUUGUCCCAGCACUUUGCUGAUCUCACCUCCGCUCCACGCUCCACCUCCCCACCAGUACCCCAACACCUGCACUUUCCCUCUGCAGCCUUCCCUCUCUUCCAGUGGGCAUCAGGGGCUACCUGGCUUUUCCUCGGUUUCCAACCUUUAUGUUCUUCACAGGUUAGAUGGAGGAAAAAUCAGCCUUUAAAUCUGUUGCUGUUCUAGAAGAAGGGAUAUCAAUACAUCAGAGUGGUCAGUAGCCCAGACCUGAAUAAACAGACAAAACUGUUGGCAGGUAGUACCAUGUCAGCUGGUGAAUCAGUUGCAUAUAAAAUUUUUCUUACAUCAACCAGCUCGUAGUAACUUAUUUCAGAAUCUUGGGAAACGUGUUUUGCUAAAGUUGGUUGUUGUUGUUUUUUUUCUUGUUUGUCUGGAAAACAUUGGUGUUCACCUUAGAAUUAAUUCAAAUUUGAGAAAAUUAGGCAAUCAUGGAACUGAAUAGAAGGCUGUAUUCCCACAGAGAAUUCAGAAUAGGCUACAUUAAAGGAAUUAUAUAUUUGCUUGAUUAUGCAAUCCAUCCCACAGACAAAAGUAUUUUUCCAAAUUGUACAAUGUUAAGUGAGGACAAACAAAAAGAAUAAAAACUAAAUUAUUUGAUAAGUAAGCUUCUGAGUGAACAGUUUGACUAUAUAUCGUGCAGCACCAACAAUAUUGUUGCUAGAAGCAUUUUCUAAAGCAGAAUCACUUCAUCAGUCUCUGCAGGUAUUUUCUCAAGAAGAUUUCCUAUUAACAAAAAUCAAAACCAGAUGGUCUGAAAUGGACUUCACAUUACAAAUACACUGCAGCUAUUUACCACCAUUUAUUACUAUAUUGUUUGCUCAGUGAUUAAUCCUGUAUAUUCACAGAUGCGCAGUGAACAGCUGUAAUAUCUUUGCAAAUAUAAUUUACAUGGUAUUUAGAUUUUACUAGGGAGAGAAAGGGAAACCUGUCAAUAGUGUAAUAACAGGAAAAUUUCCUUGUGAAGGUCAUAAAAUUAUAUUACGAAAACUGUCUCCACUAUUAAUAUACCCUCUGUGGACAGGAACUCUCAACUAUUAAUAACAGUCUUCAUUCCUAUUGCCUAAAGGCCUCAUGUAUCUGGUCCUCUUUCACGAACAUGCAUCUCACAAUAUCACGUGAUACUUUUUCCCCUUAUCUGUGCGUUAAAAACUGUACGACAAAACAAUAUCGAGCACUGUGUUUCUCCUUAGUGACGUAUGAAAAUCAAAACUUAACAGUGUUUGUAUGGUCCUUAUAUUUGUGGGUAAAAAUAUUCUUGGCACCAUUUCAAGGGACAGAUAAGAGCCCAGGACUGCAGUAGUGAAAACUUGAUAUAUUGCAGUGUUCUGUAUUAUUUUUCACAAUUAAAAAAAAAAAAAAAUAGGUGGAAGCUGCAAUAUUAUUUCAUUCCUCUCAUGCCAUUCAUUUUCUGUAGACUGUUCUUCUGACAUUAAUUUGCAUAGCUAUCGCUCUGUCCUUUUUAAAUAUGUAUUAAGAAUUUCCUCUCAUAAUAUAUGUUUAAACUGCUGAAUGGUAAUGGCUAGUGAACAGCACACUAAUCAGUAUGCUCUGUGAUUAGUGUACCUUCUGCCUUCUUACUUAACCAAUUAAUCCUCUAAUCUGUAUAUGCAGAUAGGAAUAUAUGCAACCUUAUACAUGCCUUACUGCCAAUCCUAUUUUUCCCUCUUCCUGAUCCCUUCCUAGUUGUUUAUACCCUUUCAUUUUAGGGAAUGGGCUUGAUCUGGGCCUAUCUUUCCCCUUAAAAUGCAUUUUUUCCCCAAACUUUGAAUACUGUAUACUCACUACUGCAUUAAAGCUAGCAGUAUAUUACAACAGUAUUAAUAUUGCUUGAAAAACCUCCAUAAAGGUAUGCCUGAAGUAACUGUAGUUAUGUCAUGUUAGUGUAUCCUUUAGGUCAUCUCUAGCUGUCUUCUGUGUUUAAACCAUCUCCUAUUUAGUAGAGAGGCUCCCAAAGAUGCAGAUCAACUUUGCAGUCUUACUGAGUAAUAAGUAGUGAUAUCUGAAAUGUAAUAUCAAAUAAUUAUUGUCUCUGGAACAAUAAAGGCAGAAGGCUUAUGGAAAAAAUUGUGAAGACAGCUUGUAGUUUUCAAUGUAAAAUAUAAGCUUAAUUAGAAUUUUUAAAAAUAGGUAUUUGUAUCAGUAACUGUCAUUUUUACUUUAUAUUGCCAGAACAUUUUAGGAUGACAGGAACAAAAAAAUUCUGCUGGAAUAAUGCAAACAUCUUGAAUGCCUGCAUUAGUACUAGCCUAACUCUCAGUAACUGGAAUCACAAUGUGUACUGUAAUUAGAUCUUACACAUGUAUAGGUUAAUAAAAAGUAUCUUCCUGUCC
Myiozetetes cayanensis is the source of this 3065-nucleotide long non-coding RNA. RefSeq lists it as uncharacterized. Lineage: Eukaryota; Metazoa; Chordata; Aves; Passeriformes; Tyrannidae. The record is from RefSeq and is a predicted model, not a curated record. The transcript is spliced from 2 exons.